Monodelphis domestica (gray short-tailed opossum) is the source of this 3292-nucleotide long non-coding RNA. RefSeq lists it as uncharacterized. The record is from RefSeq and is a predicted model, not a curated record. Lineage: Eukaryota; Metazoa; Chordata; Mammalia; Didelphimorphia; Didelphidae.
UGUUCUAGGACUGCCAAUGAUUGACUGAAAUUCCAGGAAGGCCACGGGCUGUGUUUUCUUUUGUGUUGUGCUUUCUCAAUUUCCAGAAUUCAGGACUGCCAGUCCACUGUUUGUCUCGGCUGCUGUCACAAGUUGUCCAACAGCUCUGUUGUUCAGGGAUCAUGUGGCAACUUGUGCAAAAUGUGGACCUAGUCUUCCUCAUGUGUGCUUGUACACACCAACUCAACAGGACCCUCAAGGCACAAGGGUGAUGGGCCUAGGCAAGGGAAAAUAAUGAAUGAAAGCAACUUUGGAAAGAAUUCAAGUCCCAAAGAACUAGGAAACUAGACAGAAACGAGACCCUUUCAAUUUGUGACUGUUUAAAUUGCCUAAGUUCCCCACUGGCAGAGCUGAAGAAUAAGCUUGAGUUUAAAAUCUAUUGACUUAGAUUUGCAUUUCUGGGAAAUUGUUUAAUAUUGAAUGAAUCAGAGGAAAGUUUGAUGGAGGGUUUGUGAGAGAAUACAUCUAGGAGUCGCACAGGAUGAUGUUGGUUGCAAUCUGUACCCCUGGAGGAAGAAUCUGUGGAUCAGCAAGGAUGGCUCCUGGGCUGAUGUCUAAGAUGCGUUCUCUUUGAAAUUCAAUUAGCCUAUAACAUUGAAUGCACAUAGAAAGUAAACUGCAAUGUUUACAUAAAACAAGAAAUCAAGCUAUUCCUCAACUGGUAAAUAGUCCAAAGAAAUUGACAAACUACGGAUAGCUAUUUCUUUUUUUUUCUUUUUUAUGAUAGCUGUUUCUUAAUGGAGAAAGGUUUGUAUCCAAGCUCAAUUCUUUCCCCACCAAAUAUCAGUUCCAUUGUGAACAGACAGAAGGCAAAGAGCAAACACAAGUCAGUUAUGAAGACAGAAAUCAGAGAAAAUUGUGCCUAAAAGAACAUACAUCACACAAUCCAGAACGAAGUUUUGCCACUGGGAGUGAGAUAACUCAGCUCAACCAAGAGAACUCGCCAACCAAGGGCGAGUUCAGAGGCACGUGCAGGGUGAGACAGAGCUGCAUCUAGUGCUUGGAGAAUCUUCCAGCUCACUGCACAAAGCUUCCUUCUCUGUGACAUGGCCCCCAUCUCGGGCUCUAUAGCUCUAGGUGGGGAAGAAGCAGCUUUCCAAUUUCCAAUUGCCCGGGCAAUCUGUGGGUCUUUGGGAAUUCCUUUGGUCCGCGGCCGCUCUCAUCUGUCUAUUAAAAGCUAUGGGGCUGAUGUUUGGGUGCCAAGAGAAGGGGAGAUCCUGGAAGUCAGGAGAGCCAAAGAAGGGGGUUUGCGCUCUAUACAUUCCCAUUUUCGUGCUGCCAAAAGGGAGGUUUCCAGCUUGGGGUUCGUAUUUUUCCUGUGGGUUUCUGCCUCUGGGCAGCUUGCACCGCGGUAGUGGCUCCUUGGCAAGGGUUCCGGCACCUGCACGGGGAGCGCGGUGGAGAGGACGAAAGAAAAUCCCACUGAGAAGGGGAGAGGGAUGAGAGAGGAGGGGCAGUCCCCAGGUGGUGAGUCCACACCCUUGGGGGAGGAGGGACGGUCAAAUACUAGAGAGUGUGGCAGCCGGGAACGAGCUCGGAGGAGGGGCGGCGGCUCCCGGCAGUGAUCCGGUGUAUCAGCCGCAAUCCCCCGGCAGAGGUGCAGAAAGAGUCACCCGGGGUGGGCGGAGGGGACAGAGCGAGCAUGACGCCGCCCCAGCCAGGCUCCCAGCCCCUCUCUGCCCGGCCGCUGUCCGGCUCUGUGACGUCAGCAUCACCUUUGUCACGUGAAGGCUUGGCAUGCUCGGUGGAGCGCUCAGAAGCGGGAACCCUAACGCGCUCUCGUAGGCAUUGCACCUGCGUGCGCUCUGCACUCUGGGUCGUGUAGUUCUCAUCCACGAAGCGGACCCGUUGGCACGGACGCUUAUGUUACGUCUCGGCUUGUCUUGUAUUACAAUCUCUCCGCUGCGUACGCCCCUCUCCCCACAAUGAGCUCCUAAGAUGGGAGGAAGGCUUGGGUGCUGGGUGUUCGGGGGGUGCGGACAUAGAAGUGCCCCACGGAGAGCUAAGUAGGAGUGCAGAGUGGUGCCCACGCCCCAUGCAGGGACCCUCUGGGACCCUCCCGCUCAUCUAUCCCGGGAAGGCAGAGGGCAGUGGAAGGUUGGGGUGGGUUCGGUCCUCGCUCUCCCUGCAGCCUCCGCUUCUUAACCGUCCCUCCGGGCCCCCCACCCCCACCCCCGGGAAGCUGUGGGGGGAAAGGGAGACCGAGAGACGGUACUCUCUGGGACCUCGGGUGACUCCGGGGUGCGGGAGUGCCCCAUACCCCGCUGUUAUGGUGGAAGGGUGGAAGUUUAGAGUCUAUUCAGGAGGGAAAAAGAAAUGUUCGCGUGGGCGCAGGGCCGAAUGUUAGGGCACCAGGGAGCCAGUCGCCGAGGGGAGCACAUUGCGCUACAGGGGCGUUCUGAAGCCUGUGGGGGGCCUUACAGGGGUUCCCAUAGCCCGUGGGGAGGGGGCCCAGCCGAGAACAAAGAAGCAGUGCAACGGUGAGAACAGCAGCAGCCAGCAAGGCAGUGAGAGUGGAGGGCAGUGUUGGAGAAAGCCGACGGAAGGAGAGUUGUCUAAGUUUGCCCUAGGGGAGGGGCUGUGAGAGACCGAGAGAGAAGAGGAUUACAGUACUGGGAGCUCCCUGGCAGCAGCUGGAAGUCCUCCAGAGCUGGGCAGCUGCCCCCUAGACCUGCCUGCAUGACUGUGAGCACUAGUCUUGAAGCCCACCGUGUGCCCACGGCCUCAGGUGGCUGGUGUAUGGCCGGGAUGGGACCAUGGAUCCCUACACCCACCGUUGGGAUGCCAUGGUCAGGGCCCUUUUUAUUGCACAGUGCAGAAAAGCUUUCCUAGUUGGGGGUGUUGUUUAAAUGGGGUGCCGGCAGAUAAAACCAAGGAUGUCUGGCUGCCAGAAUGGACGCCUUGGUUCCCAUUUGUUGGACCUUACCAUUAACCUGAAGUAGGGUUGUCAUCAUCCAUCUUCUCUCUGAAAGCUGGUAGCCAGAGGCACCCCUAAGAUCCCGCAGAGGGUGAAGAGACUGGAGCUCUCCUGGCCCUUCUCCCCAACUCCAUCCCACCCUCAUGCAGGCAUUUAUCUCCACUGAUAGGGAAGGAGUCCCAUUCCAGUGGGCUCAAGUUACAGAAGAAUCAAGAGAGGACCAUUUUCUAUCCAGGCACUGAAUUUCCUAGGCUGCCUCUUGUCCACUUAAUUUUUUCAUUGAAUUCCCUGAGUGUUGUUUGGAGAAAAUUUAAUUAAAAUUCAGGAAUGUUGAUA